GCGCAGCAGUCGAGAAUUUUUCACAAUGGGGGAAACCCUGAUGGAGCGACGCCGCGUGGAGGAUGAAGGUAUUCGUAUCGUAAACUCCUGUCAAACGGGAACAAGAAAGUGAUAGUACCGUUAGAGGAAGAGACGGCUAACUCUGUGCCAGCAGCCGCGGUAAUACAGAGGUCUCAAGCGUUGUUCGGAUUCAUUGGGCGUAAAGGGUGCGCAGGCUGUGGGGUAAGUCGGAUGUGAAAUUUAGGGGCUCAACCCCUAAACUGCAUUCGAUACUGCUCCGCUAGAGGACUGUAGAGGAGAUUGGAAUUCACGGUGUAGCAGUGAAAUGCGUAGAUAUCGUGAGGAAGACCAGUGGCGAAGGCGAAUCUCUGGGCAGUUCCUGACGCUCAUGCACGAAGGCCAGGGGAGCAAACGGGAUUA
Molecule: ribosomal RNA, 420 nt
Filed under: uncultured organism
Description: bacterial SSU rRNA
Rfam family: Bacterial small subunit ribosomal RNA
Source: RNAcentral